GAGUUAUAGUGAAGUAGAUGAAUAUGUAGUGUAGCCCAGGUGAAAUGCAUAGAUAUUCAUAGAAUACCGAUUGCGAAGGCAGUCUAAACUAACUGUAUACUGACGCUAAUGGACGAAAGCGUGGGGAGCGAACAGGAUUAGAUACCCUGGUAGUCCACGCCGUAAACGAUGGUCAACAGUUGUUUGGGGCUUUAUGCUUCAGUGAUUAAGAGAA
This 214-nucleotide ribosomal RNA is filed under the name uncultured Lutimonas sp. RNAcentral describes it as "partial 16S ribosomal RNA". It matches the Rfam family "Bacterial small subunit ribosomal RNA", at positions 642 to 855 of the family's 1533-position model. The record is from RNAcentral. Lineage: Bacteria; Pseudomonadati; Bacteroidota; Flavobacteriia; Flavobacteriales; Flavobacteriaceae.